AGCGGAGCGGAGCGGAGCGGAGCGCAUCGCAUCGGGGAUACUCCGCGGGCCAGCCCGCCUCACCGUGCGCUUUCUCCCCCGUGUAGCCUUUGCUGGAGGAGGGUGAGACUUGGAAGGAGUGCCAGCUCGUCCGGCAAGUGAGCGGCGAGGUCACAAAAUGGAUUCAGACAAACCAGAGGAUCAGAAAAAGCGGCAAAAAGAAAAGAAAGCGGGAUGAAGUCGUUUUCCAAAAGGAAGUCCUAUUUCUAAUACAAGAUGGAUGACUUUGCUAUACUGAGACACCGCCAAAUCAAAGCAACUGCUUCCGCGUCCAAGUACAAAAUCUAGGACAGAGAGAUAACUCUGUAUGGAAUAAGUGAAACAGAAUUGUGGAGGAAAGGUUGCUGACAACUGCCGGGGAAUUGCUUCUUGAAAAAGUUGCCUUCCAAACAGUUAAGUUUGUAGGAGCUGACUUUACAUACGCAUAUAUGUAUUUAAAGAACAUUUAAAGAUACCAUGUGCUGGAUAAGAACUGUGUAACUGGUAGUGUUAACUGCACUCAAGGGGCAUAUGAACCAGUGGGGCAGCUUGUGUAGAAAGGUGUGGUGCUGCUCUCCAGUGUGGACCCACACACGAUGGGUUAUAGCAGUGUAACAGAUUCCAUGGGUGAGAAGGACUUUCUAGACGAGUAACUAAGGGUUC
RNAcentral lists this long non-coding RNA (681 nucleotides) under Buteo japonicus. RNAcentral describes it as "lncRNA (ENSBJAG00000015951.1)". Lineage: Eukaryota; Metazoa; Chordata; Aves; Accipitriformes; Accipitridae. The record is from RNAcentral.